RNAcentral lists this ribosomal RNA (388 nucleotides) under Reticulitermes perilabralis. Its description in RNAcentral is "partial 16S ribosomal RNA". Lineage: Eukaryota; Metazoa; Arthropoda; Insecta; Blattodea; Rhinotermitidae. The record is from RNAcentral.
CAUCUUUUCUCGUUAGUUUUUGAAGUAUGGCCUGCCCGCUGACUUUAGUGUUGAAGGGCCGCGGUAUUUUGACCGUGCAAAGGUAGCAUAGUCAUUAGUUCUUUAAUUGUGAUCUGGUAUGAAUGGCUUGACGAGGCAUGGGCUGUCUUAAUUUUUAAUUGUUUAUUGAAUUUGGUCUUUGAGUUAAAAUUCUUAGAUGUUUUUAUGGGACGAGAAGACCCUAUAGAGUUUAACAUUUGUUAUGGUCCCUUUCUGUUUGUGAGGGUUCAUUGGGCCGUUUAAUAUGUUUUGUUGGGGUGAUGGGAGGGAUUAUUUAACCCCUCCUUUUAUUAUUAUAUUUAUUUAUAUUUACUUGAUCCAUUUAUUUUGAUUGUAAGAUUAAAUUACC